RNAcentral lists this ribosomal RNA (492 nucleotides) under uncultured bacterium. Its description in RNAcentral is "partial 16S ribosomal RNA". It matches the Rfam family "Bacterial small subunit ribosomal RNA", at positions 29 to 507 of the family's 1533-position model. The record is from RNAcentral.
AGUGAACGCUGGCGGUAGGCCUAACACAUGCAAGUCGAACGGCAGCACAGUAAGAGCUUGCUCUUACGGGUGGCGAGUGGCGGACGGGUGAGGAAUACAUCGGAAUCUACUUUUUCGUGGGGGAUAACGUAGGAAAACUUACGCUAAUACCGCAUACGACCUACGGGUGAAGGCAGGGGAUCUUCUGACCUUGCGCGGUUGAAUGAGCCGAUGUCGGAUUAGCUAGUUGGCGGGGUAAAGGCCCACCAAGGCGACGAUCGGUAGCUGGUCUGAGAGGAUGAUCAGCCACACUGGAAGUGAGAAAGGGUCCAGACUCCUACGGGAGGACGCAGUGGGGAAUAUUGGACAAUGGGGGAAAGCCUGAUCCAGCCCUACCGCGUGGGUGAAGAAGGCCUUCGGGUUGUAAAGCCCUGUUGUUGGGAAAGAAAAGCAGCAGGUUAAUACCCCGCUGUUCUGACGGUACCCAAAGAAUAAGCACCGGCUAACUUCGUG